AGUGAACGCUGGCGGUAGGCCUAACACAUGCAAGUCGAACGGCAGCACAGUAAGAGCUUGCUCUUACGGGUGGCGAGUGGCGGACGGGUGAGGAAUACAUCGGAAUCUACUUUUUCGUGGGGGAUAACGUAGGGAAACUUACGCUAAUACCGCAUACGACCUACGGGUGAAAGCAGGGGUUCUUCGGACCUUGCGCGAUUGAAUGAGCCGAUGUCGGAUUAGCUAGUUGGCGGGGUAAAGGCCCACCAAGGCGACGAUCCGUAGCUGGUCUGAGAGGAUGAUCAGCCACACUGGAACUGAGACACGGUCCAGACUCCUACGGGAGGCAGCAGUGGGGAAUAUUGGACAAUGGGCGCAAGCCUGAUGCAGCCAUACCGCGUGGGUGAAGAAGGCCUUCGGGUUGUAAAGCCCUUUUGUUGGGAAAGAAAAGCAGCAGGUUAAUACCCCGCUGUUCUGACGGUACCCAAAGAAUAAGCACCGGCUAACUUCGUG
Molecule: ribosomal RNA, 492 nt
Filed under: uncultured bacterium
Lineage: Bacteria
Description: partial 16S ribosomal RNA
Rfam family: Bacterial small subunit ribosomal RNA
Source: RNAcentral